GACGGAGGAUGCAAGUGUUACUCCGGAAUCACUGGGCGUAAAGCGUCUGUAGGUGGUUCAAUAAGUCAACUGUUAAAUCUUGAGGCUCAACUUCAAAAUCGCAGUCGAAACUAUUGGACUCGAGUAUAGUAGGGGUAAAGGGAAUUUCCAGUGGAGCGGUGAAAUGCGUAGAGAUUGGAAAGAACACCAAUGGCGAAAGCACUUUACUGGGCUAUUACUGACACUGAGAGACGAAAGCUAGGGUAGCAAAUGGG
RNAcentral lists this ribosomal RNA (254 nucleotides) under uncultured bacterium. RNAcentral describes it as "partial 16S ribosomal RNA". It matches the Rfam family "Bacterial small subunit ribosomal RNA", at positions 524 to 776 of the family's 1533-position model. The record is from RNAcentral.